AUAAAAAGCUAGGGGUGCCUUUUCAGGCUGAGAAAUACCCUUAUUAGUUGAACUGGAUAAUGCCAGCGUAACGAAGCUAUAAGUAGAUCAU
RNAcentral lists this non-coding RNA (91 nucleotides) under Candidatus Epulonipiscium sp. RNAcentral's name for it is "Epulopiscium sp. TPP sequence". It matches the Rfam family "TPP riboswitch aptamer (THI element)". From Rfam's summary of the family: Vitamin B(1) in its active form thiamin pyrophosphate (TPP) is an essential coenzyme that is synthesised by coupling of pyrimidine and thiazole moieties in bacteria. Lineage: Bacteria; Bacillati; Bacillota; Clostridia; Lachnospirales; Lachnospiraceae. The record is from RNAcentral.